Cyprinus carpio carpio is the source of this 622-nucleotide long non-coding RNA. The record is from Ensembl. NCBI's taxonomy places the organism in Eukaryota, Metazoa, Chordata, Actinopteri, Cypriniformes, Cyprinidae.
CUUGAACAGAAGAGGAAGAGACAAGUGAAGGUCGAGGAGGAGGAGAUGCAUUCUGCUCAUCAUCUUAAAGGCCUGAAGAACGUGCUGCUGAGAGCUUUGCAAUGCCUACCAGAAUAGUAACGGAGCUCUGGCAGGAGCAGCAGAUGGAGCAGAUGUCUCACGGCAUGCAGAUGUCAUCCCAGAUCAAGAAGAGAAGGUUCAAAUCCAGCGUGCCGGCAGCUGCUUUAGUUUGGAGGCUGGUAAUCCUGUUCAGAACCCGGUCAUGCUCCUCCGGCGGAGGUUACGGCACGGGAAGAGCGCUGAGAAAGGUCUCUUCAGUAAAUCAGGCCUCAGACGCAGGAUGGAUGACGUGAGGAUGAGUGAUAAAGUCUGUCAGCACCAGGAUGAAGGUCGAGCGGAGUCUAAGUGAAGACUCAACCUGAAGCGAGUGCACAAGGAACAUGAAGGCCUGUACAGCAUCCGUCUGCGCACCUGGGACUGGACCGUCGAAGACAGAGCCUACGUCUAUGUCAAAGAUCCUCAGAAACUCUUACUCUUAGAGUGUCAAGCAGUUUUUGUUUUAUAACUAGUGUAACUAUCACCCCGACUGAUAGCUACCAUUAGAAUCUGUCAUAGAAAGUUC